This 466-nucleotide ribosomal RNA is filed under the name uncultured bacterium. RNAcentral describes it as "partial 16S ribosomal RNA". It matches the Rfam family "Bacterial small subunit ribosomal RNA", at positions 28 to 507 of the family's 1533-position model. The record is from RNAcentral.
GAUGAACGCUGGCGGCGUGCUUAACACAUGCAAGUCGAACGAUGAAGCCCAGCUUGCUGGGUGGAUUAGUGGCGAACGGGUGAGUAACACGUGAGUAACCUGCCCUUCACUCUGGGAUAAGCCUGGGAAACUGGGUCUAAUACCGGAUAGGAGCGCCUACCGCAUGGUGGGUGUUGGAAAGAUUUAUCGGUUUUGGAUGGACUCGCGGCCUAUCAGCUUGUUGGUGAGGUAAUGGCUCACCAAGGCGACGACGGGUAGCCGGCCUGAGAGGGUGACCGGCGACACGGGGACUGAGACACGGCCCAGACUCCUACGGGAGGCAGCAGUGGGGAAUAUUGCACAAUGGUCGAAAGCCUGAUGCAGCGACGCCGCGUGAGGGAUGACGGCCUUCGGGUUGUAAACCUCUUUCAGUAGGGAAGAAGCGAAAGUGACGGUACCUGCAGAAGAAGCACCGGCUAACUACGUG